Molecule: ribosomal RNA, 253 nt
Filed under: uncultured bacterium
Lineage: Bacteria
Description: partial 16S ribosomal RNA
Rfam family: Bacterial small subunit ribosomal RNA
Source: RNAcentral
GACGUAGGAGGCGAGCGUUAUCCGGAUUCACUGGGCGUAAAGCGCAUGUAGGCGGAUGGUCAAGUCGCAUGUUAAAGCCCCCGGCUCAACCGGGGGAGGUCAUGCGAGACUGGCUGACUUGAGGGCAAUAGAGGCACGUGGAACUCCCGGUGUAGCGGUGGAAUGCGUAGAGAUCGGGAAGAACACCCGUGGCGAAGGCGGCGUGCUGGGUUGUGCCUGACGCUGAGAUGCGAAAGUGUGGGGAGCAAACGGG